UGGGGAAUAUUGCACAAUCGGCGCAAGCCUGAUGCAGCCAUGCCGCGUGUGUGAAAAAGGCCUUCGGGUUGUAAAGCUCUUUCAGCGGGGAGGAAGGCGGUGAGGUUAAUAACCUCACCGAUUGACGUUACCCGCAGAAGAAGCACCGGCUAACUCCGUGCCAGCAGCCGCGGUAAUAUGGAGGGUGCAAGCGUUAAUCGGAAUUCCGGUGCGUAAAGCGCCCGCAGGCGGUCUGUGAAGUCGGAUGUGAAAUCCCCGGGCUAAAGAUGGGAACUGCAUUCGAAACUGGCAGGCUAGAGUCUUGUAGAGGGGGGUAGAAUUCCAGGGGUAGCGGUGAAAUGCGUAGAGAUCUGGAGGAAUACCGGUGGCGAAGGCGGCCCCCUGGACAAAGACAGACGCUCAGGUGCGAAAGCGUGGGGAGCAAACAGG
RNAcentral lists this ribosomal RNA (429 nucleotides) under Chloroflexota bacterium. RNAcentral describes it as "Chloroflexi bacterium partial 16S ribosomal RNA". It matches the Rfam family "Bacterial small subunit ribosomal RNA", at positions 355 to 776 of the family's 1533-position model. The record is from RNAcentral. Lineage: Bacteria; Bacillati; Chloroflexota.